Larimichthys crocea (large yellow croaker) is the source of this 1055-nucleotide long non-coding RNA. RefSeq lists it as uncharacterized. The transcript has 3 exons. NCBI's taxonomy places the organism in Eukaryota, Metazoa, Chordata, Actinopteri, Sciaenidae. The record is from RefSeq and is a predicted model, not a curated record.
AGAUGCAUCUGUGUGGUAAAGAAAUCCACUACUGAUGAGAUACGAAAUGCUGAUCUCCAUCCAGCCCAAGGCAGGUCAGAUGAAAACGUGCCACUGGUCGGGGAGGUCUCUGAAGCACACGCUACAAAAGAUGCAUCUGGUGUGGUAAAGAAAUCCACUACUGAUGAGAUACGAAAUGCUGAUCUCCAUCCAGCCCAAGGUAAUAAUAUUUCUAGUAACUGGAAAGAAAACGGCGCUUGGUUAGCUCAGUGGGUAGAGCAGGCAGCUGCAGCGGCCCGGGUUCGAAUCCGACCUGUGGCCGUUUGCUGCGUCUCUCUCUCUCUCUCUCUCCUCUCUGUCUAUCUCUAUAUCUCUCUCUCUCAGUCUCUAUCUCUGUCUCUCUCUCUCUUGGUCUCUCUCUCUAGCUGUCACUAUCAUAAAGGCAAUAAGUAACCUUACUGUAGUGAAUGGUUCUUCCACUGUGUUGUUGUCCUGCAUCGUUAUAUUGAAGUAUUGUAUAUUAUGUGGGUCAUGUAAGUUACAGCGGCUAAGACGGUAGAGAAGCUGUUGUAUUGGUUAAACAAACGUAUGUUCAUAUUUUUAAAGAAUAUUUCUUACAUCUUUUUUUAUUCAGGGUCAUCAAAGAAAAGGUAAAGGAAAUGGAGAGAUGAAGAAAUUCAGGCCGUGGAGAAAACACUGUUGGUCUAUAUCCAGUCGGGGAAGGUUCCUGGAAAAGCAGAGUGUCUCAAAUGCAUUGAGACUUCUCCACUGGCACUUAGAGGGAGGAGGUGGGAGGGUGUGAAAUUUUAUGUAAAAAAUCGUAUUGCUGCUUUAAGGCGAGACUCUGUUAAAGGAAAGAGGUAAGCUGACAUUUGUUGCUGUCUUAAAAGAUUACACGGGUCUUUUUUUUUGUUGGAGUAAGUUUUACCUGUGGUCUUCUGUAGUUAUGUUUGAAAGCGCUGAGGUUUUGUUUAAAUUUUAAAUGUUAAAGUUUUAUAUCUGAAAAAUAAUGUAAUUUUUAUUUAAAUUGAGCGCUUUUGUACUGUUGGCAUUGGUCUAAAACAGAAAUAAACUGG